This is a non-coding RNA of Stegodyphus mimosarum, 73 nucleotides long. The record is from Rfam. Lineage: Eukaryota; Metazoa; Arthropoda; Arachnida; Araneae; Eresidae.
GCCCUCGUGGUGUAGUAGUCAGCACACUCGGCGCGCAUUCAAGAAGUCCAUGGUUCGAGUCUCGGCGAGGGCA